Molecule: ribosomal RNA, 405 nt
Filed under: uncultured bacterium
Lineage: Bacteria
Description: bacterial SSU rRNA
Rfam family: Bacterial small subunit ribosomal RNA
Source: RNAcentral
AUCCCUUGACAUCCAGAGAAUCUUUCAGAGAUGAGAGAGUGCCUUCGGGAACUCUGAGACAGGUGCUGCAUGGCUGUCGUCAGCUCGUGUUGUGAGAUGUUGGGUUAAGUCCCGCAACGAGCGCAACCCUUAUCCUUAGUUGCCAGCACGUAAUGGUGGGAACUCUAGGGAGACUGCCGGUGAUAAACCGGAGGAAGGUGGGGACGACGUCAAGUCAUCAUGGCCCUUACGGGAUGGGCUACACACGUGCUACAAUGGCGCACACAAAGGGCAGCUAACUAGCGAUAGUAUGCGAAUCUCAAAAAGUGCGUCGUAGUCCGGAUCGGAGUCUGCAACUCGACUCCGUGAAGUAGGAAUCGCUAGUAAUCGUGGAUCAGAAUGCCACGGUGAAUACGUUCCCGGGCC